Molecule: ribosomal RNA, 451 nt
Filed under: uncultured bacterium
Lineage: Bacteria
Description: partial 16S ribosomal RNA
Rfam family: Bacterial small subunit ribosomal RNA
Source: RNAcentral
AGCGAACGCUGGCGGCAGGCCUAACACAUGCAAGUCGAACGAAGCCUUCGGGCUUAGUGGCGGACGGGUGAGUAACACGUGGGAACGUACCUUUUGGUUCGGAAUAACGCAGAGAAAUUUGCGCUAAUACCGAAUGAGCCCUUCGGGGGAAAGAUUUAUCGCCGAAAGAUCGGCCCGCGUUGGAUUAGGUAGUUGGUGUGGUAAAGGCGCACCAAGCCUACGAUCCACAGCUGGUCUGAGAGGAUGAUCAGCCACACUGGGACUGAGACACGGCCCCCACUCCUACGGGAGGCAGCAGCAAGGAGUUUUCCGCAAUGGGCGAAAGCCUGACGGAGCAACGCCGCGUGGGGGAUGACACCUUUCGGGGCGUAAACCCCUUUUCUUGGGGACGAAGCAGUGACGGUACCCGAGGAAGAAGGCCCGGCUAACUACGUGCCAGCCGCCGCCGUAA